RNAcentral lists this transfer-messenger RNA (150 nucleotides) under Candidatus Harrisonbacteria bacterium RIFCSPLOWO2_01_FULL_44_18. Its description in RNAcentral is "partial transfer-messenger RNA". It matches the Rfam family "transfer-messenger RNA", at positions 1 to 166 of the family's 374-position model. From Rfam's summary of the family: Bacterial tmRNA, also known as 10Sa RNA or SsrA, is named for its dual tRNA and mRNA-like properties. Its role is to liberate the mRNA from a stalled ribosome. The record is from RNAcentral. Lineage: Bacteria; Candidatus Harrisoniibacteriota.
GGGGAUGACGGGCUUCGACGGAAAUCAUUUCUAAAUAAUCGCAAGCCGAGUUGAAUCGUCUCGAAAACCGAUUCAAACCAUUAACUGCUAACGAAAAAUUGGCGUUAGCUUACGCUUAAUCGCGUAGGCCAUCGGCAUGCUGACGCUUUA